Passer domesticus (house sparrow) is the source of this 887-nucleotide long non-coding RNA. RefSeq lists it as uncharacterized. The transcript is spliced from 3 exons. NCBI's taxonomy places the organism in Eukaryota, Metazoa, Chordata, Aves, Passeriformes, Passeridae. The record is from RefSeq and is a predicted model, not a curated record.
GUGAAAGUAGCUGCACUGGGAAGGUCUGGGUUAAGUGUUAUGGUCUGCCAAGCAGUCUGACUUCCUUUGGCUUUGCAAGCAGCAAUGAUUUAUUUUGUCUGAGAUUUGCUUAUUCUUCAGGUUCCAUGGGAUGGGAUGAGAGCAGGGCCAUGCCUGGAGCUGGCUGAGUCGUGCUGGCACUGAGCUGGGUGGAGGGGAGAUUGGUGAUCUGUGCAGGCUGGGAGAGAAGGACUGAUUAAGAUCAGACCAGUGGGUGACUAAUGGAGAUUUUUACUGUCAGAUUUCUGUGGCUUUCUUCGUGGAAGACAACAUAUCCAUCAACUGAAACUGAAAUCCAAGCAUUUUCUGCAGCAACACUUUAUGAAUUCAUUGUAUGCAUCUUGUUUUGCCUAAAAGGCCGAUUUACUUGCAGAACAAGAUCAAACUGAGAGAUUUAAUUUUUUUGUUAUUUUUGUUUAGCUCACUUUUACUUUCAUAACUAUUAGGACAAAACUGAAUGUUAGAUUGGUUCACAGACAUUCCCUUAUAAACUGAACAAACCCACUCAAAGUCUUCCAAAGUAGUUGAAAGAAUAAACAAUUCAACAAACUACGUUCUUAAAACCGUUGUUCAUAGCAGCUCUUGUCAUGAAGGUUAGGAAAUACCUGAGACCUGAGAGAAGAACAGAUUAAACUUUCAGCCCCUACCUUCUUUAGGAGGUGAUGGAUUUGAAAUCUGAGCAGGAGAAGGACUGGCAGCUUGUGUGGGAUAUACAGAAAGGGUUCUUUGUUUUCCACUAGUGGCUCUCCUGUUGUUUUGAGAUACUACAAUCAUACUACAGAAAGCUUACUAAACAGAGUUUGUGAUCAAAACAAAUAGAUUGGGAAUCUGAAGACAGAAGUCUCUGC